UGUAAUAAAAUGUUUGAUGCAUAUAGUUUUUUGAAAUCUAAAGUUUAAGUUUAAUUCUUAAUAUUACAU
RNAcentral lists this transfer RNA (69 nucleotides) under Batracomorphus lineatus. RNAcentral's name for it is "tRNA-Gln". The record is from RNAcentral. Lineage: Eukaryota; Metazoa; Arthropoda; Insecta; Hemiptera; Cicadellidae.